This 637-nucleotide ribosomal RNA is filed under the name Alexandrium pseudogonyaulax. Its description in RNAcentral is "LSU rRNA". It matches the Rfam family "Eukaryotic large subunit ribosomal RNA", at positions 55 to 656 of the family's 3401-position model. The record is from RNAcentral. Lineage: Eukaryota; Dinophyceae; Gonyaulacales; Pyrocystaceae.
GGAAAAUGAACCAAAUGGGAUUCCUUUAGUAAUUGCGAAUGAACAAGGAUGUGCUCAGCUUGACAAAUGGAGUUUUUGAGCUUUGAAUUGUAAUUUUGCAAUGCAUCACCAGCGGAGGUACAGUUGCAAGCCUUUUGAAAGACAGCGCCAUUGAGGGUGAAAUUCCUUUUUGUCUUCUGCAACCUUUGUGCACGGUAUGUAUUUGGUGAAUCACAUUCCUCGGCAUUGGAAUGCAAAUUGGGUGGUAAAUUUCACGCAAGGGAAAAUAUAUUAUUGAGUCUGAUAAUGAACAAGUACCAUGAGGGAAAUAUGCAAAGGACUUUGAAAAGAAAAUUAAAAGAGCUUGCAUUUGCUAAACAGAAAACUAGCAGAAGUGCUUUAUCUUGGUAAGAUUGCUGCGCAUGGGUUUACUGUGUAAAUUGUAUGAGCAUUGGUUCUUACUUUGUGUGUCAAUUCCAUUGUCAAUUUUAAUAUCUUUGCUCAUGAAUUGUGAAAUGCUUGCGGGUGUUAGAUUGCAUGUGCAUUCAUUAAUUUGGACUUGGUGCAGUGCUUGGCAACAGCUUGCAUGUAGAGUGUGCGUGCAAUGUACAAUUGCGAUUGUCAGCUGUUGCCAACCACUUUUGUUGGCAAUGUGAUU